Non-coding RNA from Electrophorus electricus (electric eel), 2263 nucleotides. The record is from RefSeq and is a predicted model, not a curated record. NCBI's taxonomy places the organism in Eukaryota, Metazoa, Chordata, Actinopteri, Gymnotiformes, Gymnotidae.
UUAGUGCUAACUGAACAUACUGUGCUCUGUGUUACCCUUGGGACAGAACAAGACUGCUGAUGUUGGAGUGGCUGGAGAGGGUCAAUGUGUUUGAGUCCACUGGAGCUACAGGUUUGACUGAGCCACAAUCGGACACUGAAUGUCAGGCUAGUCAGCAGCAUGAGGCGGCACUAAUUAAUAGCGCAGCACUGGGCAGACGACUGGGUGCUGGGUGGUAUCUGUACCCCGACAGAGAGGACAGGACGUGCGCGGAUCAUAGACUGUGUGUACGCCAAAUGGCAUGCGAGCCAUUAUAAUGUGGUCCAACAACUUACGCUUCUCGUUUGGGUUCUACAACUUGUUCAUGCAUUAUCAAGGAUUCAAUAGCUCCCCCUGGUCUGCAUGCUACAAAUGACGUAUUCCCGGACUCUACAAGUCUAUGACCCUGGACCUUGACUAUGACUCUGAUUAUGGAUUUGCCCUUAAAAAGCCUUGUCUUCUCAGCGUAUGCAUCCACCUCAUAAUCACUUCAUGUUACACCACCUAUGUAGAAUUUUCAAAACAAUGUGGCACAUGACUUGUAUGAAAAAAUAAAAUUAAUAAAGUAAUAAAUAUACUGUUACUUACUUUGUAUUUUGGGGCACUCUGGGAUCCAAAGUAGUCAAAACGAGCAUUUAACUGAGCUUUAGAACAUUGUCAUUUUAAAGAGAGCUUUAGAUAUAAAAAAACAAAAUGCUCAUUCACCUCUAGACAAUUUGAGAUCCAUACCUGGCAAUGUUUUAUUCCAGUUGCAUAUUUUAUAAUACAUGUCCACAAAGUCAAUUGGUCUGAUAAAAUAUGUUGUAUAGGAACCUUUGCAGGUAUGAUUCUCACAAAACUUGGUAAUAUUUUCUGUUUUGUAUGUGUGGUUCAGCUAGAAAAAGCAGAAGAAAGGACACAAUGGUUAGACUUUACAGUGAACACACAGUCUACGACACAAGCCCAUAUCACCUGCAGUCCUAGAAUUUUAUGUGUGGUGUCCUUGAGCACAAAUCUAGCAUCAAAUAUGCAAAUAUAACUAGCAGUACCCUUGCAAAGUCUUUCAGAAUUUUUUCAUAUGUCCAUAGAAAUUGUCCAAUGCAAUCAGUACAUUUAUUUAUAUUGUCCCUACAUCCACCCUGAAGUCUUUCUUCAUUCUGCUUCCAGGUGGAACAAAGUGUAUUUAUGACAGAGAGUAAAAUAUGCUCCUCCUAAAAAAGAAACCCAAGAAGAAAGAAAAAUUAUUAACUUCUCAUGACAAAAUGUUGUGCAAACCUUGAGCCAGCUUUUCAAAUUAAGUUUUAAAAGCUUAGAAGGAAUCAAGAAACAAUGGUGAAAAUGUAAUCCAUCACCCCUAGUGGUUCAGGAAGAAGAAUACAGGUCAUGAUCAUAUUUAAUCAUAUCAUUGUUCUUGCAGUUGAGGUAAAAUCAGGUUGGCAACUUUUUUUUUUGACUAGACACUAUUGUUUCUGUUAUAUCUACGUUUUCUUAUAAAUAACAGUAAUUCUCUUUAUGUGUCUCUCCAUUACCAAAACUAAUUCAUAAUAAUGAAAGUAAUAAAUAUAAAUGUGUAUAUAAGAUGCAUUUUUAUUGUGGAAUUCACUCAUAAAGGUUUGGUAAUGUAAUAUAACUCAUUUAUAUUUUUUGGGGGCCAGCAAUCAAAUUUUACUUUUAUUUUAAUAUGCAUGACAACUAUAAAAGUCUGUAUAAAUGAUAAUGUAUCCAUAAAUGUAAUCAUUUUUUGUGUUUUCCACACAUUGUAUUGUAUGUUACUCUUGGUAAUGCACUAGAGUUGUUUGAGUACAAUAAACUAAAAUUACAUAUUAUUUUGUUAUUAUACAUAGAAUAUAAAUGUAUUAUGUAAACAUGGCUGCUUCAUCCUACCUUUUCAGAUUCAGCGGGAGGUGUGAAGUUCUUGACCGCAAUCCAAUGGUCUUUUAAUAAACAUGUUGUCCAUAUAUAUUAAAAAACAAUACAAAUGUUAACCAAGUGUGUAAAUAUAAAACACACAAAUAACUAAUUAAUGAAUAUCAUCUGGAUGUAAAAAGUCCUGAUCUUAAAAUAAUCUUAAUUUAAGAGUCCUUGUACAUUUUAGGGAACCCAGACUAUGUCAAAGACUUAAUAUCAGCACCAUCAUACACCUUUUGGUGUGGAUGUGCUUAUUCUGCACAAAAUAGAUAAAUCUAACUAUCACUGCGCAACAUAAACCUCUCUGAUGAAUUACUUAAAUACUGUACUGUCACAUUAAAAAAUAAAAAUUCCAUUU